Molecule: transfer RNA, 76 nt
Filed under: Francisella frigiditurris
Lineage: Bacteria; Pseudomonadati; Pseudomonadota; Gammaproteobacteria; Thiotrichales; Francisellaceae
Also listed under: 1 other name
Description: tRNA-Arg
Rfam family: tRNA
About the family: Transfer RNA (tRNA) molecules are approximately 80 nucleotides in length. Their secondary structure includes four short double-helical elements and three loops (D, anti-codon, and T loops).
Source: RNAcentral
GCACCUAUAGCUUAACUGGAUAGAGCGUCGCCCUCCGGAGGCGGAUGCGGGGGUUCGAGUCCCUCUAGGUGUGCCA